CCUACGGGAGGCAGCAGUGGGGAAUAUUGGACAAUGGGCGAAAGCCUGAUCCAGCCAUGCCGCGUGUGUGAAGAAGGCCUUCGGGUUGUAAAGCACUUUCAGUGGGGAAGAAAGCCUUGGGGCUAAUACCCUCGAGGAAGGACAUCACCCACAGAAGAAGCACCGGCUAACUCCGUGCCAGCAGCCGCGGUAAUACGGAGGGUGCGAGCGUUAAUCGGAAUUACUGGGCGGAAAGCGCGCGUAGGCGGUCUGAUAAGCCGGUUGUGAAAGCCCCGGGCUCAACCUGGGAACGGCAUCCGGAACUGUCAGGCUAGAGUGCAGGAGAGGAAGGUAGAAUUCCCGGUGUAGCGGUGAAAUGCGUAGAGAUCGGGAGGAAUACCAGUGGCGAAGGCGGUCUUCUGGACUGACACUGACGCUGAGGUGCGAAAGCGUGGGUAGCAAACAGGAUUAGAUACCCCUGUAGUC
RNAcentral lists this ribosomal RNA (465 nucleotides) under Vreelandella stevensii. Its description in RNAcentral is "partial 16S ribosomal RNA". It matches the Rfam family "Bacterial small subunit ribosomal RNA", at positions 338 to 795 of the family's 1533-position model. The record is from RNAcentral. Lineage: Bacteria; Pseudomonadati; Pseudomonadota; Gammaproteobacteria; Oceanospirillales; Halomonadaceae.